Hydra vulgaris (swiftwater hydra) is the source of this 603-nucleotide non-coding RNA. NCBI's taxonomy places the organism in Eukaryota, Metazoa, Cnidaria, Hydrozoa, Anthoathecata, Hydridae. The record is from RefSeq and is a predicted model, not a curated record.
GGGCAUCACAUGCCUUAAAAAAAAAUUAUUGAAAUGAUAAAAAAUUUAGCUGAUAACGUAUUUAAAGAUUAAGCAAUUUUUGUGUAUUAAUUUCUUUCUCCUUUUAAACUCUGUUUGCAUUUAAAAUAGGAUAAUUAUUACUUUACAAGGUUUUCAUUAUCCAUUUGAACGCACGCGUUUUCAUUGGCCUUUUGUUCGCAUGAUAGAAUAAAAAGCGUUAAAAUUUUUUUUUUCUUAUUUAACGUUUGUAAAAGCCUGACUUCUGAUAGUUUAACUUAUUUUUGCUUAAACCUUGCGUCCCUGUGGAUACUUUUGUGCAUAUGUAUGUUUUUGACUCGCCUGCAUUUUGUUCCGACUAUAUUUUGACAAGAAACUUAUCUUCAGUGGAUAUUUUAAUUUUUUAGCAUGAAUAAUCAAAGACCUCCACGAUUGAAACAGCUGUCUGGAGCUGCUGGGAGAAAAAGAGCAAUGAUUCGGAAAAAAAAACGAAAGCAAAAACAAACGAACGCUUUUAGAUUGCGUUCGUUGGACAAAAAUCGAAGAUAAAUGCAAGCAGUUCAAUGAUAUUGAGAUCGGUAUCAAUGACUCUAAUGAGUUGCCAGA